UGUUUAUUUACCGCAGGGAAAAUGAGGGGCUUUUGGGGGCAGUUGUGUUUCAGUUUCACUAUCAUAAUGCCCCUAAAAAUCCUUAUUGCUCUUGCAGUUAUC
This is a microRNA precursor of Lepisosteus oculatus (spotted gar), 102 nucleotides long. Ensembl annotates it as microRNA 365a. Its record names the gene mir365-1. The record is from Ensembl. NCBI's taxonomy places the organism in Eukaryota, Metazoa, Chordata, Actinopteri, Semionotiformes, Lepisosteidae.